RNAcentral lists this ribosomal RNA (741 nucleotides) under uncultured Candidatus Poseidoniales archaeon. RNAcentral's name for it is "bacterial SSU rRNA". It matches the Rfam family "Archaeal small subunit ribosomal RNA", at positions 102 to 857 of the family's 1478-position model. Lineage: Archaea; Methanobacteriati; Thermoplasmatota; Candidatus Poseidoniia; Candidatus Poseidoniales. The record is from RNAcentral.
GGAUAACCUGCCCUAUCGUCUGGAAUAACCUCGGGAAACUGAGAAUAAGGCCGGAUAGUUCACAAAGCCUGGAACGGUUUGUGAAUCAAGGUAGGAUGGGUCUGCGGCGUAUCAGGUAGUAGGGGGUGUAAAGGACCCCCUAGCCUUCGACGCGUACGGGUGUUGGGAGACAUAGCCCGGAGAUGGAUUCUGAGACACGAAUCCAGACCCUACGGGGUGCAGCAGGCGCGAAAACUUCACACUGCAGGAAACUGUGAUGAGGGAACUCCAAGUGUGUGCACUAUGUGUACACUUUUAUGAACUUUUAAUCGGUUCAGGAAUAAGGGCUGGGAAAGACCGGUGCCAGCCGCCGCGGUAAUACCGGCAGCUCAAGUGGUCGUCGCUUUUAUUGGGCCUAAAACGUCCGUAGCCUGUUUGGUAAAUCUGUGGGUAAAUCAACUCGCUCAACGAGUUGAAUUCUGCAGAGACUGCCAGACUAGGGACCGGGAGAGGUGUGGGGUACUCGAGGGGUAGGGGUAAAAUCCUGUCAUCCUUCGAGGACCACCAGUUGCGAAGGCGCCACACUGGAACGGAUCCGACGGUCAGGGACGAAGCCUAGGGGCACGAACCGGAUUAGAUACCCGGGUAGUCCUAGGUGUAAACGCUGUGAACUUGGUGUCGGGGGUCCGCAAGGGGUCCCCGGUGCCGGAGUGAAGAUGUUAAGUUCACUGCCUGGGGAGUACGGUCGCAAGGCUGAAACUU